RNAcentral lists this ribosomal RNA (273 nucleotides) under uncultured bacterium. Its description in RNAcentral is "partial 16S ribosomal RNA". It matches the Rfam family "Bacterial small subunit ribosomal RNA", at positions 524 to 796 of the family's 1533-position model. The record is from RNAcentral.
UACGAAGGGGGCUAGCGUUGUUCGGAAUCACUGGGCGUAAAGGGCGCGUAGGCGGCUAUUCAAGUCGGGGGUGAAAGCCUGUGGCUCAACCACAGAAUUGCCUUCGAUACUGUUUGGCUUGAGACCGGAAGAGGUAAGUGGAACUGCGAGUGUAGAGGUGAAAUUCGUAGAUAUUCGCAAGAACACCAGUGGCGAAGGCGGCUUACUGGUCCGGUUCUGACGCUGAGGCGCGAAAGCGUGGGGAGCAAACAGGAUUAGAAACCCCCGUAGUCC